This 667-nucleotide ribosomal RNA is filed under the name Cortinarius junghuhnii. RNAcentral describes it as "eukaryotic LSU rRNA". It matches the Rfam family "Eukaryotic large subunit ribosomal RNA", at positions 1 to 650 of the family's 3401-position model. The record is from RNAcentral. Lineage: Eukaryota; Fungi; Basidiomycota; Agaricomycetes; Agaricales; Cortinariaceae.
GUGACCUCAAAUCAGGUAGGAUUACCCGCUGAACUUAAGCAUAUCAAUAAGCGGAGGAAAAGAAACUAACAAGGAUUCCCCUAGUAACUGCGAGUGAAGCGGGAAAAGCUCAAAUUUAAAAUCUGGCAGCCUUUGGCUGUCCGAGUUGUAAUCUAGAGAAGUGCUAUCCGCGCUGGACCGUGUACAAGUCUCCUGGAAUGGAGCGUCAUAGAGGGUGAGAAUCCCGUCUUUGACACGGACUGCCAGGGCUUUGUGAUGUGCUCUCGAAGAGUCGAGUUGUUUGGGAAUGCAGCUCAAAAUGGGUGGUAAAUUCCAUCUAAAGCUAAAUAUUGGCGAGAGACCGAUAGCGAACAAGUACCGUGAGGGAAAGAUGAAAAGAACUUUGGAAAGAGAGUUAAACAGUACGUGAAAUUGCUGAAAGGGAAACGCUUGAAGUCAGUCGCGUUGUCCAGGGAUCAACCUUGCUUUUGCUUGGUGCACUUUCUGGUUGACGGGUCAGCAUCAAUUUUGACCAUUGGAAAAAGAUUAGGGGAAUGUGACAUCUUAGGAUGUGUUAUAGCCCUUGGUUGCAUACAAUGGUUGGGAUUGAGGAACUCAGCACGCCGCAAGGCCGGGUUUUUAACCACGUACGUGCUUAGGAUGCUGGCAUAAUGGCUUUAAUCGACCC